RNAcentral lists this ribosomal RNA (192 nucleotides) under Acarospora scabrida. RNAcentral describes it as "Myriospora scabrida 5.8S ribosomal RNA". The stretch from base 5 to 158 matches the Rfam family "5.8S ribosomal RNA". Rfam says of the family: 5.8S ribosomal RNA (5.8S rRNA) is a component of the large subunit of the eukaryotic ribosome. It is transcribed by RNA polymerase I as part of the 45S precursor that also contains 18S and 28S rRNA. Functionally, it is thought that 5.8S rRNA may be involved in ribosome translocation. Lineage: Eukaryota; Fungi; Ascomycota; Lecanoromycetes; Acarosporales; Acarosporaceae. RNAcentral also lists the same sequence under 1 other name. The record is from RNAcentral.
UUAAAACUUUCAACAACGGAUCUCUUGGUUCUGGCAUCGAUGAAGAACGCAGCGAAAUGCGAUAAGUAAUGUGAAUUGCAGAAUUCAGUGAAUCAUCGAAUCUUUGAACGCACAUUGCGCCCCUUGGUAUUCCGGGGGGCAUGCCUGUUCGAGCGUCAUUGCACCACUCAAGCUCAGCUUGGUAUUGGGCCU